UAGGGCUCAUGCACACGACCGCGUGCCCUCCGUUGCCAUACUGCAGGCCGCAUACAGCGGGUCAGCAAUACACAGGCACUGGCCGUGUGCAGUCCGCAUCAAGGACCCAUUCACUUCAAUGGGUCCAGGAUCCGGGAUAUGAGGAGCAGAAUCCCAUGGAAGCACAA
This is a long non-coding RNA of Bufo bufo (common toad), 167 nucleotides long. RefSeq lists it as uncharacterized. The record is from RefSeq and is a predicted model, not a curated record. NCBI's taxonomy places the organism in Eukaryota, Metazoa, Chordata, Amphibia, Anura, Bufonidae. The transcript is spliced from 4 exons.